CAGGUGCUGCAUGGCUGUCGUCAGCUCGUGUUGUGAAAUGUUGGGUUAAGUCCCGCAACGAGCGCAACCCUUAUCCUUUGUUGCCAGCGAUUAGGUCGGGAACUCAAAGGAGACUGCCAGUGAUAAACUGGAGGAAGGUGGGGAUGACGUCAAGUCAUCAUGGCCCUUACGACCAGGGCUACACACGUGCUACAAUGGCGCAUACAAAGAGAAGCGACCUCGCGAGAGCAAGCGGACCUCAUAAAGUGCGUCGUAGUCCGGAUUGGAGUCUGCAACUCGACUCCAUGAAGUCGGAAUCGCUAGUAAUCGUGGAUCAGAAUGCCACGGUGAAUACGUUCCCGGGCCUUGUACACACCGCCCGUCACACCAUGGGAGUGGGUUGCAAAAGAAGUAGGUAGCUUAACCUUCGGGAGGGCGCUUACCACUUUGUGAUUCAUGACUGGGGUGAAGUCGUAACAAGGUAACCGUAGGGGAACCUG
This 479-nucleotide ribosomal RNA is filed under the name Salmonella enterica. RNAcentral describes it as "bacterial SSU rRNA". It matches the Rfam family "Bacterial small subunit ribosomal RNA", at positions 1035 to 1514 of the family's 1533-position model. The record is from RNAcentral. Lineage: Bacteria; Pseudomonadati; Pseudomonadota; Gammaproteobacteria; Enterobacterales; Enterobacteriaceae. RNAcentral also lists the same sequence under 2 other names.